Molecule: ribosomal RNA, 483 nt
Filed under: uncultured bacterium
Lineage: Bacteria
Description: partial 16S ribosomal RNA
Rfam family: Bacterial small subunit ribosomal RNA
Source: RNAcentral
AUUGAACGCUGGCGGCAUGCUUUACACAUGCAAGUCGAACGGCAGCGCGGGCUUCGGCCUGGCGGCGAGUGGCGAACGGGUGAGUAAUACAUCGGAACGUGCCCAGUAGUGGGGGAUAGCUCGGCGAAAGCCGGAUUAAUACCGCAUACGACCUGAGGGUGAAAGCGGGGGAUCUUCGGACCUCGCGCUAUUGGAGCGGCCGAUGGCAGAUUAGCUAGUUGGUGGGGUAAAGGCCUACCAAGGCGACGAUCUGUAGCUGGUCUGAGAGGACGACCAGCCACACUGGACCUGAGACACGGCCAGACUCCUACGGGAGGCAGCAGUGGGGAAUUUUGGACAAUGGGCGAAAGCCUGAUCCAGCAAUGCCGCGUGUGUGAUGAAGGCCUUCGGGUUGUAAAGCACUUUUGGCGGGAACGAAAAGGACUGUGCCAAUACCACGGUUCGAUGACGGUACCCGCAGAAUAAGCACCGGCUAACUACGUG